Molecule: long non-coding RNA, 1004 nt
Filed under: Equus caballus (horse)
Lineage: Eukaryota; Metazoa; Chordata; Mammalia; Perissodactyla; Equidae
Description: lncRNA (ENSECAG00000057477.1)
Source: RNAcentral
AGGACAAUAACAAAAUUGUCUUACUCUUUAUUGAAAACUAUUUUUUUUUAACAUGGGCACAUCCUUAAACUUGAUCUUCUGUGAGAACGUGUGUGUUCCAGCAAGAAAGAAGGAGGAAGUGGAAGUGAAGCUUUCUUUACGGUAGCGGUUGCCUCUGGAAAUGGAGGAAAGGAGAAGUGAUGGGGCUUUAGCUGUUCCUGUUCCUUAAAACCGACAAACAAGAUACUCACCAAGACUGAAACACGUAUAACGAAAUAUGAAGAGUUAUUUUAUCUCAGUGUCCAAAAAUGUAUCAAAGGAGGCUUCUGAAUUCAAUUCAGAAAAUAGACAGGGAUUCAGAUGUCAAGAACAGCGGCCCAGCAUACUCCAGCACUUUUGCUGCUCAAAUCCCUCUUCUUCAAAACUGUGUCCACCAUCAAUACUGGCAGUUGUAUAACCCACAAAUUUUCAAGGUAUUCAGAAGAGUUGCCUUUGGUUUAAAAAGUGUGUAGUGGUGAAGAAAUUGAUGGCUGCUGACGUGGUUUGGGGCCAUGACUUUGAUUUGUGGGAACAGUUUUACUCACGAAUUCCUUUUGCACCAUCAGAACAGAUUUCAACACAGUUGUUUCAGAAGAAGCCAAACGAUUUAAAAGAAGACAUUCAACUCUUUGACUAUUUCAGCACCAUUUGUAUUUGUUGCUAAGCAUUCACAGAAAAGAUCUUUGCUCACUGGUUUGUGCCGUUACUUGACUGCUGAUACUGGAAUAUAAGCAAAAUGGCAAGCCCAGCCAUAUCUGUAGGUAUUUCCAUUUUUAAGGAAAAAGUACAAUUCUACAGAGAAGAUACUGACUUGAUCUUCAUGCUUGCAGCUAAAUUUUUCAUUUGGUGAAUUACUCUAGCAUUGGAAGGUGGCAGUGCCAUGAUUUCUUUUACCGAUUUUUUCAUCCGACAGGCAUUUGGCAAUGUUAACUGUACAGGGCACACAAUGUGUGCUUCUCCAGACAAUGCAAUGUGACAACUUACCC